Long non-coding RNA from Gopherus flavomarginatus (Mexican gopher tortoise), 1494 nucleotides. RefSeq lists it as uncharacterized. The transcript is spliced from 5 exons. Lineage: Eukaryota; Metazoa; Chordata; Testudines; Testudinidae. The record is from RefSeq and is a predicted model, not a curated record.
UGUUUGCUCCCGCAGGCAAGGACACCCUGUGCCCAGAGUUACAGAAGCUCCAGGGCCUGGCCAUGGAGCAACCCCACCCCCACGCCCACCACAAAGCCUGAGCCCGGCCCAAGGUGCUGACCUGCUCCCCUUCUCUGGCCAGCUGGAAUGGGCCACUGCUAGCCCCCUUGGGUGGAGAGGGGAAAGCAUAGGGGCUGGGAGGGGGAGCAGAGGAUAGUGUAGGGCAGGGUGGGGAGCAGAGGGCCCAGUGGUGCCCUGGGGUUUAUAACUUCUGGCACUGGAGGGCUGAACUGGGUUUCCUAGGGGACGAGUUGGGGGCACAGAGUAGUGUAAAGUGGGGAGGUUUGGGGCUGGCAGGUAGAAUAGGGCAGUGGGGGGGUGGGGAGGAGCUGGGGUGCGGGUGACAGGCUGGCAGGUGGCACAGGGCAUGGGGGGGGGUAGAGAGGAGCCGGGGGUGCGGGUGAUGGUCUGGCAGGUGGCACAGGGCAGUGGGGGGGUAGGAAGGAGCCAGGGGUGUGGGUGACAGGCUGGCAGGUGGCACAGGGCAGUGGGGGGGGUAGAGAGGAGCCAGGGGUGUGGGUGACAGGCUGGCAGGUGGCACAGGGCAGUGGGGGGGGUAGGGAGGAGCCGGGGGAGCGGGUGACGGGCUGGCAGGUGGCACAGGGCAGUGGGGGGGGUAGGGUGGAGCCGGGGGAGCAGGUGAUGGUCUGGCAGGUGGCACAGGGCAGUGGGGGGGGGUAGGGAGGAGCUGGGGGAGCGGGUGAUGGUCUGGCAGGUGGCACAGGGCAGUGGGGGGGGUAGGGAGGAGCCAGGGGUGUGGGUGACAGGCUGGCAGGUGGCACAGGGCAGUGGGGAGGGGUAGGAAGGAGCCAGGGGAGCGGGUGACGGGCUGGCAGGUGGCACAGGGCAGUGGGGGGGGGUAGGGAGGAGCCAGGGGUGUGGGUGACAGGCUGGCAGGUGGCACAGGGCAGUGGGGGGGGUAGGGAGGAGCCGAGGGAGCGGGUGACGGGCUGGCAGGUGGCACAGGGCAGUGGGGGGGGGGGAGGAGCCGGGGUGCAGGUGAUGGGCUGGCAGUGCCAGCCAUGCUGAUAGGGUUCUCAGAAGAGAACAGGCCGUGCUGCGACACCGUCACCCUGAGGCUGGCAGGUGGCCACGCAGCCUGGAUCCCUGAGCCCUGCUUGGCAUGAUCCUCCAGCUGCAGGAUCCUGGCUCUGGGCAGGGUCUGCCCCAUGCCACAGGGACCCAGCAGGAGCCGUCCUUCUCCACCCCUUCCCGUCCCCUUUCGGGGAGUCAGGGGGCUGGGGGCUGUGCCCCUCCUGGCUUGAUGUGGGUUCUGUUACAGUUUGGUUCGCUGGCUCUCAGCACCCCACUGUACACAUUGUUCCAGGCCCCCUGGGGGAGCUUGUCCCUCAGACUCACAGAUAAUCAAAGAGGGACACACUUCCCAGCCUCUUCCACUUGAGAUACCCCACCCAGAAAUUGUGCACUGCUCAA